This is a transfer RNA of Allomyces macrogynus ATCC 38327, 72 nucleotides long. It matches the Rfam family "tRNA". From Rfam's summary of the family: Transfer RNA (tRNA) molecules are approximately 80 nucleotides in length. Their secondary structure includes four short double-helical elements and three loops (D, anti-codon, and T loops). The record is from Rfam. NCBI's taxonomy places the organism in Eukaryota, Fungi, Blastocladiomycota, Blastocladiomycetes, Blastocladiales, Blastocladiaceae.
GCGCCGUUGGUGAAGAGGUUAUCAUCCCACCCUUCCAAGGUGGUUUCCCGGGUUCGAAUCCCGGACGGCGCA